This 288-nucleotide unclassified non-coding RNA is filed under the name Glomus sp. Its description in RNAcentral is "partial internal transcribed spacer 2". The stretch from base 1 to 72 matches the Rfam family "5.8S ribosomal RNA", at positions 84 to 154 of the family's 154-position model. The record is from RNAcentral. Lineage: Eukaryota; Fungi; Glomeromycota; Glomeromycetes; Glomerales; Glomeraceae.
GUGAAUCAUCAAAUCUUUGAACGCAAAUUGCACUCUCCGGUUUUCCGGGGAAGUAGGCCUUUUUGGGGUUCUUUUUAAAAAAUAAUCUAGGCUGCUGCUUUGUUGUCGCUUCGGAAUUGGGUCAUCUUCCACCUUUCGGGGUUGUAAGCGACCUAAAAUUUUUCUUACGAUUUCUACGAACGUUUCUAAGAAUUUCUUUUACGUUCGCGACAUCGAAAUCAUAUUAGGGUCUACCGCCGCUUCUGGUUCGCUCCCAUAAUAUAGCAUCUAAGUACCUCAGACAGGUAA